This 2928-nucleotide ribosomal RNA is filed under the name Staphylococcus aureus. RNAcentral's name for it is "bacterial LSU rRNA". It matches the Rfam family "Bacterial large subunit ribosomal RNA". The record is from RNAcentral. Lineage: Bacteria; Bacillati; Bacillota; Bacilli; Caryophanales; Staphylococcaceae.
AGAUUAAGUUAUUAAGGGCGCACGGUGGAUGCCUUGGCACUAGAAGCCGAUGAAGGACGUUACUAACGACGAUAUGCUUUGGGGAGCUGUAAGUAAGCUUUGAUCCAGAGAUUUCCGAAUGGGGAAACCCAGCAUGAGUUAUGUCAUGUUAUCGAUAUGUGAAUACAUAGCAUAUCAGAAGGCACACCCGGAGAACUGAAACAUCUUAGUACCCGGAGGAAGAGAAAGAAAAUUCGAUUCCCUUAGUAGCGGCGAGCGAAACGGGAAGAGCCCAAACCAACAAGCUUGCUUGUUGGGGUUGUAGGACACUCUAUACGGAGUUACAAAGGACGACAUUAGACGAAUCAUCUGGAAAGAUGAAUCAAAGAAGGUAAUAAUCCUGUAGUCGAAAAUGUUGUCUCUCUUGAGUGAAUCCUGAGUACGACGGAGCACGUGAAAUUCCGUCGGAAUCUGGGAGGACCAUCUCCUAAGGCUAAAUACUCUCUAGUGACCGAUAGUGAACCAGUACCGUGAGGGAAAGGUGAAAAGCACCCCGGAAGGGGAGUGAAAUAGAACCUGAAACCGUGUGCUUACAAGUAGUCAGAGCCCGUUAAUGGGUGAUGGCGUGCCUUUUGUAGAAUGAACCGGCGAGUUACGAUUUGAUGCAAGGUUAAGCAGUAAAUGUGGAGCCGUAGCGAAAGCGAGUCUGAAUAGGGCGUUUAGUAUUUGGUCGUAGACCCGAAACCAGGUGAUCUACCCUUGGUCAGGUUGAAGUUCAGGUAACACUGAAUGGAGGACCGAACCGACUUACGUUGAAAAGUGAGCGGAUGAACUGAGGGUAGCGGAGAAAUUCCAAUCGAACCUGGAGAUAGCUGGUUCUCUCCGAAAUAGCUUUAGGGCUAGCCUCAAGUGAUGAUUAUUGGAGGUAGAGCACUGUUUGGACGAGGGGCCCCUCUCGGGUUACCGAAUUCAGACAAACUCCGAAUGCCAAUUAAUUUAACUUGGGAGUCAGAACAUGGGUGAUAAGGUCCGUGUUCGAAAGGGAAACAGCCCAGACCACCAGCUAAGGUCCCAAAAUAUAUGUUAAGUGGAAAAGGAUGUGGCGUUGCCCAGACAACUAGGAUGUUGGCUUAGAAGCAGCCAUCAUUUAAAGAGUGCGUAAUAGCUCACUAGUCGAGUGACACUGCGCCGAAAAUGUACCGGGGCUAAACAUAUUACCGAAGCUGUGGAUUGUCCUUUGGACAAUGGUAGGAGAGCGUUCUAAGGGCGUUGAAGCAUGAUCGUAAGGACAUGUGGAGCGCUUAGAAGUGAGAAUGCCGGUGUGAGUAGCGAAAGACGGGUGAGAAUCCCGUCCACCGAUUGACUAAGGUUUCCAGAGGAAGGCUCGUCCGCUCUGGGUUAGUCGGGUCCUAAGCUGAGGCCGACAGGCGUAGGCGAUGGAUAACAGGUUGAUAUUCCUGUACCACCUAUAAUCGUUUUAAUCGAUGGGGGGACGCAGUAGGAUAGGCGAAGCGUGCGAUUGGAUUGCACGUCUAAGCAGUAAGGCUGAGUAUUAGGCAAAUCCGGUACUCGUUAAGGCUGAGCUGUGAUGGGGAGAAGACAUUGUGUCUUCGAGUCGUUGAUUUCACACUGCCGAGAAAAGCCUCUAGAUAGAAAAUAGGUGCCCGUACCGCAAACCGACACAGGUAGUCAAGAUGAGAAUUCUAAGGUGAGCGAGCGAACUCUCGUUAAGGAACUCGGCAAAAUGACCCCGUAACUUCGGGAGAAGGGGUGCUCUUUAGGGUUAACGCCCAGAAGAGCCGCAGUGAAUAGGCCCAAGCGACUGUUUAUCAAAAACACAGGUCUCUGCUAAACCGUAAGGUGAUGUAUAGGGGCUGACGCCUGCCCGGUGCUGGAAGGUUAAGAGGAGUGGUUAGCUUCUGCGAAGCUACGAAUCGAAGCCCCAGUAAACGGCGGCCGUAACUAUAACGGUCCUAAGGUAGCGAAAUUCCUUGUCGGGUAAGUUCCGACCCGCACGAAAGGCGUAACGAUUUGGGCACUGUCUCAACGAGAGACUCGGUGAAAUCAUAGUACCUGUGAAGAUGCAGGUUACCCGCGACAGGACGGAAAGACCCCGUGGAGCUUUACUGUAGCCUGAUAUUGAAAUUCGGCACAGCUUGUACAGGAUAGGUAGGAGCCUUUGAAACGUGAGCGCUAGCUUACGUGGAGGCGCUGGUGGGAUACUACCCUAGCUGUGUUGGCUUUCUAACCCGCACCACUUAUCGUGGUGGGAGACAGUGUCAGGCGGGCAGUUUGACUGGGGCGGUCGCCUCCUAAAAGGUAACGGAGGCGCUCAAAGGUUCCCUCAGAAUGGUUGGAAAUCAUUCAUAGAGUGUAAAGGCAUAAGGGAGCUUGACUGCGAGACCUACAAGUCGAGCAGGGUCGAAAGACGGACUUAGUGAUCCGGUGGUUCCGCAUGGAAGGGCCAUCGCUCAACGGAUAAAAGCUACCCCGGGGAUAACAGGCUUAUCUCCCCCAAGAGUUCACAUCGACGGGGAGGUUUGGCACCUCGAUGUCGGCUCAUCGCAUCCUGGGGCUGUAGUCGGUCCCAAGGGUUGGGCUGUUCGCCCAUUAAAGCGGUACGCGAGCUGGGUUCAGAACGUCGUGAGACAGUUCGGUCCCUAUCCGUCGUGGGCGUAGGAAAUUUGAGAGGAGCUGUCCUUAGUACGAGAGGACCGGGAUGGACAUACCUCUGGUGUACCAGUUGUCGUGCCAACGGCAUAGCUGGGUAGCUAUGUGUGGACGGGAUAAGUGCUGAAAGCAUCUAAGCAUGAAGCCCCCCCUCAAGAUGAGAUUUCCCAACUUCGGUUAUAAGAUCCCUCAAAGAUGAUGAGGUUAAUAGGUUCGAGGUGGAAGCAUGGUGACAUGUGGAGCUGACGAAUACUAAUCGAUCGAAGACUUAAUCAAAUU